GUCUUUUUGAUUAUAAUUUAAAGUCUAACCUGCCCACUGAAUAUUUUGAAGGGCCGCGGUAUUUUGACUGUGCAAAGGUAGCAUAAUCAUUAGUCUUUUAAUUGGAGGCUUGUAUGAAUGGUUGGAUGAGGUAUUAACUGUCUCAACUUAAUAAAUAAUAGAAUUUUAUUUUUAAGUUAAAAAGCUUAAAUUUAAUUAAAAGACGAGAAGACCCUAUAGAUCUUUAUAAUUUAUUUUAUAAUAAUUUUUUAGAUAAAAUUUAUUUUUAUAAAAUUAAUUAUUUUAUUGGGGUGAUAAAAAAAUUUAUAAAACUUUUUUUGUGUAUAAACAAUGAUAUUUGAUUGAUUGAUCCAUUUAUUGUGAUUAUAAGAUUAAGUUACCUUAGGGAUAACAGCGUAAUUUUUUUGGAGAGUUCUAAUCGAUAAAAAAGAUUGCGACCUCGAUGUUGAAUUAAAGGUUAAUUUUAGGUGUAGAAGUUUAAAAUUUUGGUCUGUUCGACCAUUAAAUC
RNAcentral lists this ribosomal RNA (508 nucleotides) under Parachauliodes japonicus. RNAcentral's name for it is "partial large subunit ribosomal RNA". It matches the Rfam family "Bacterial large subunit ribosomal RNA", at positions 1830 to 2594 of the family's 2925-position model. Lineage: Eukaryota; Metazoa; Arthropoda; Insecta; Megaloptera; Corydalidae. The record is from RNAcentral.